GAAGAGAAGAGAGGAGAAGGC
RNAcentral lists this small RNA (21 nucleotides) under Arabidopsis thaliana (thale cress). Its description in RNAcentral is "ATSL227250". Lineage: Eukaryota; Viridiplantae; Streptophyta; Magnoliopsida; Brassicales; Brassicaceae. The record is from RNAcentral.